GACGAACGCUGGCGGCGUGCUUAACACAUGCAAGUCGAACGGAAAGGCCCUGCUUUGGGGGGGUGCUCGAGGUGCGAACUGGUGAGUAACACGUGGGUAAGCUGUACUUGACUUUGGGGUAACUUCAGGAAACUGGGGCUAAUACCGGAUAGGAUUUCCUGCUGCAUGGUGGGGGUUGGUAAGUUUCGGCGGUUGGGGAUGGACUCGCGGCUUAUCGGCUUGUUGGUGGGGUAGUGGCUUACCAAGGCUUUGCCGGGUAGCCGGCCUGAGAGGGUAGCCGGCCCCACUGGGCCUGAGCUACGGCACAGCCUCGUACGGGACGCAGCGGAGGGGAAUAUUGCACAGUACGCGGAAGGCUGAUGCAGCAACGCCGCGUGCGGGAUGACGGGCUUCGGGUUGUAAACCGCUUUCGCCUGUGACGAAGCGUGAGUGACGGUAAUGGGUAAAGAAGCACCGGCUAACUACGUG
RNAcentral lists this ribosomal RNA (468 nucleotides) under uncultured bacterium. Its description in RNAcentral is "partial 16S ribosomal RNA". It matches the Rfam family "Bacterial small subunit ribosomal RNA", at positions 28 to 507 of the family's 1533-position model. The record is from RNAcentral.